GACGAACGCUGGCGGCGUGCUUAACACAUGCAAGUCGAACGGAAAGGCCCUGCUUUUGUGGGGUGCUCGAGUGGCGAACGGGUGAGUAACACGUGAGUAACCUGCCCUUGACUUUGGGAUAACUUCAGGAAACUGGGGCUAAUACCGGAUAGGAGCUCCUGCUGCAUGGUGGGGGUUGGAAAGUUUCGGCGGUUGGGGAUGGACUCGCGGCUUAUCAGCUUGUUGGUGGGGUAGUGGCUUACCAAGGCUUUGACGGGUAGCCGGCCUGAGAGGGUGACCGGCGACAUUGGGACUGAGAGACGGCGCAGACGGGUACGGGAGGCAGAAGGGGGGAAUAUGACAGAAUGAGCGGGAGCCUGUUGCAGAGACGCCGCGUGCGGAAUGACGGGCUUCGAGUGGUAAACCACUUUCGCAUGUGACGAAGCGUGAGUGACGGUAAUGGGUAAAGAAGCACCGGCUAACUACGUG
RNAcentral lists this ribosomal RNA (468 nucleotides) under uncultured bacterium. RNAcentral's name for it is "partial 16S ribosomal RNA". It matches the Rfam family "Bacterial small subunit ribosomal RNA", at positions 28 to 507 of the family's 1533-position model. The record is from RNAcentral.